UUUUGGACCUAUGUGUCUUGCUAUGCAACUGACACUAGCCUCCAAUGGUGUCGUAUAUGAUUCCAACAGAUUUAUCAGCGUUUCCCAAGCCGCUUUUUCUGUGAUACUGUAACAUGCACGUGUUGUACCAGGUGCAUUCAGCCUGAAAUUAGCAGUCUCAGUGAACCGAAAAAGAAUUAUUUGUAGGGGUAAAGAACUGCAGAAACCAGCUUUUCUUUUUUGUAAACCCGGUCUCUGAGGACCCAAGACCAGUCUGCAAUUUUAAUUCUGUUCCAGCAUCUGAGCAAACACACAAGACUGAUCACUGACUCAUCACUGACGCAGGUGUGAAUCAAGAUUCUAUGGAGCAAGAAAUUGAUUUCAAACAGAUUAGCUUAUGUUCCGUAUUUUUUAUUUGUAUUUUUUUUAACCACAGCGCUGUUGCGUUCUCAAUUCUGACUGGUCAGAAGGUUGAUUAAUUUUUUUAGAACAGUAACUCGGACACUAGUGUCAGUUGCAAUUCAGAUCACAGGCUUAUAUUAAUAUCAUUCUAAUACCCUGUUAUAUGUAAUGUAUAAAUGUGUGAGGUAAAACUAGUAAAUGUGAGCCUCUUGUGUGAAUGAGUGAGGUAAAACUAGUAAAUGUGAGUCUUUUAUAUGAAUGUGUGAGGUAAAACUAGUAAAUGUGAGCCUUUUAUAUGAAUGUGUGAGGUAGAACUAGUAAAUGUGAGCCUUUUACAUGAAUGUGUGAGGUAGAACUAGUAAAUGUGAGCCUUUUGUAUGAAUGCGUGAGGUAAAACUAGUAAAUGUGAACCUUUUAUAUGAAUGCGUGAGGUAAAACUAGUAAAUGUGAGCCUUUUGUAUGAAUGGGUGAGGUAAAAAUUAUAAAUGUGAGCCUUUUAUAUGAAUGUGUGAGGUAGAACUAGUAAAUGUGAGCCUUUUAUAUGAAUGAGGUAGAACUAGUAAAUGUGAGCCUUUUGUAUGAAUGUGUGAGGUAAAACUAGUAAAUGUGAGCCUUUUGUAUGAAUGGGUGAGGUAUAACUAGUAAAUGUGAGCCUUUUGUAUGAAUGGGUGAGGUAAAAAUUAUGAAUGUGAGGUAAAACUAGUAAAUGUGAGCCUUUUAUAUGAAUGAGUGAGGUAGAACUAGUAAAUGUGAGCCUUUUGUAUGAAUGUGUGAGGUAGAACUAGUAAAUGUGAGCUUUUUAUUUGAAGUGAAACAGUAAUGAGGUCAAAUCUUAAUCAACUUCAGGGUGGUAGGAAUUUCACAAAGAAGCAUUUUCCAAAACUUCUUUGUUACAAAAACAAAUUUCUUAAAGCUAGCAUGACUGCAAACUGGCCAAACACGGGCAGUGACAUUCUGACAUUUUGCCCAUGAUGUCUGUGUGUGUGUCUGGUUAAGUAACGGGUUGGCGAAAUGGAUCAAUUGAAGAGUGACUCAGUUCCAUCCCGAGGUCUUCAGGUUACUUCCUGGAAACGUUGAGUGGACAUUCCACUCCGAUAAAGACACCUCCUGGUUACACACACGCACAACCGAGCUGAGUUAUUUAUGCAUGGACAGUAUUAGAGUUCACCAAAGGCAGGCCAAAAUCGCCUCAUCAUGAUGUUAACACUUGGACUGUGUGUGUGUCAGAGUGAAGGAAAUAGUGCUGUGUAGUGUGCAUUCAGCAGUUCUUUUCCAUUCAUAUAGACAAGGUGAAAUGAAUGAAAAAGGAAUCUGUGACUCUCAAAGAAAACCCGAAUCCCCAAAAAAUGGUGCUUCGUUGUUUACAGAAUUCAUCCACAAAUUAAUAAUAGUUUUAUGGUUAAGAUCACAAAUCGGUCAAUAAUGGAUCCUAG
Long non-coding RNA from Ictalurus punctatus (channel catfish), 1814 nucleotides. The record is from Ensembl. Lineage: Eukaryota; Metazoa; Chordata; Actinopteri; Siluriformes; Ictaluridae.